UUGGACAAGUGAUUGCUGAUAAUCAGAUGGCAUGAUUUACCUUUUGAAAGCCAUGGAACAAUUUCUAGAGAACACCAAUAAUGUAAAUGAUGACUAGAGCUCCCUAUAGUGUAAAUGCUUAUUUCAUUCAGUCUUCAAACCCUGGGUACAGAGAAAACAAAUAGAGCAGAGAAAACAAGGGAAGCAGGCCAGAGGAAAGAGCAAACUUGGCCAAAGGAGAAAAAGUAAGGAGGAAAUUCUGGCUACAGCAGAGGAAUGCAGGACAAACGGGUCAGAGGACUCAAAGACAGAACAUUUUCCUGAGAAAUGACUCCUACCCUUGGGUCGAGUGAAGCCCUGUUACAUCCAUCUCCAACAUCCAGUACAAGACCUCUCUUUCUCAAAUGGCUUUCCCUGGUGGGGAAGCCAUAUAUUUUUCUACUUCUUUACACUGUUUAUUCUCCUGUGUAGUUUAGUUUCUUUAAUUAAUGUUUAAUCUUCUUGUGUUUAUGCCUCAAGGCAGAGCCUAUGAAGGGCGCUGAGUUCAAAAUCAUAGCCUCAUGAUACUCCAUAGGCUUCACAUUAAAUAGCCAUGACAGUUCAAAGGAAAGACCAAAAUCCUGCUCUCUGCUCAGACUACUGGGGAUACAGGGCUAGUCUGUGCAGACCCUGGCUUCUAAAUCCAUCAUUUUCUUUUUAUUCUCCAACAGUUCUACAGCUAGAUGACUGUUUCUGCUCCCUCUUUCCCAGGGAGGGACUGCAUUCUGCGAGAAAAUGGCUCCGUCACUCAAGAGUGAUGAAAUCAGUAGAGCAAAGGCUGGGCUAGAAAUGAUUACUUAGUGCCCGUGAGGAGACGCCAGUGGAGACUCCAUACAUAAGGACCUGAAAGGAAAGGAAAGGAGACUUUCUGCUGCUUACAGUAUCUGAGGGAAUCAUCUGACAGCUUAUUUAUUAAAUGCAUUUCAAUAUUAAUUCUCCUCUGUGCCAGAGCUGACCUUCAAAAAUAUUUACAGGGAGAAAGCAGGCAUGGGAAGAAAACAGCACUUCAGCCCAUUUUCUCCUGUACAGUUACAUAUGAAAUCAGUUAAAAUUAAAUACUAGGCUAGGUAGCUGAUCUUGUAAGAUAGAGCCUAAAUUAGAUAUCAAGAUAAAUUAGUACCCAAUUAAUUGAGAUCCAAAUUGUUUGUCUCUCUGUAUACUUUGGAGAAGAAUAGAUCACAGGACCGUACAACAGCAUAAAGAAGUGUUCAGCUCUUUCUCAAACCGGUUCUGAGUCUAAAAUGUAUUUUAUCUUCUCAGUCCCAUGAAAUCAUAGCUUCCUGAUGAGAGCUGGUCUCCAGCCAGGCACCUAGUAAACGUACAAUUACAUGUAAUAUCCUAUAUGCACUCAGUCAAAGCUCGGGCUAAAGAAGCUCUCCCAAAGAGAAGAGUUUUUGUUUUUGUUUUUAUAAAUUUGUGGUAAAUACUCAGAAUACAAAAGUUACCAUCUUAACCAUUUUUAAGUGUACAGCUCAGUGGUGUUAAAUACAUUCAUGUCACUGGGCAACCAUCACCGCCUUCUACCUCCAGAACCCUGCUCACCUUGCAAAACUGGAAUUCCAUUCCCAUUAGACAGUACCAUCCCAUUCUAAACCAUGUAAUUCCUAAGCAGGACAUUUCGGUACCUGGAGAUUUCUAUUCUUUAAAGAUAUUAUUGAAGUUUUAUUCUUACAUAGGAAAAAAUUAGGACUAACUUCUCUGAUGAGUUCACUUCACAAUUAAACCUGGUUCGUGCAUUACACCUAGGUAACUGUUAUGUUGUUCCAGAAAGUCAUGUUUAAUCCUCACAUAGCAAUGCUGAUGGGUGACCAGUCAAUGAAGAUAGCCUGCUAUGAAUGAGAAGUGGUAGGCAAAACUCUUUCAUUAGUGGUUCUCUCAAUCGGUUUUUACCAUGACUUAGGAUUAGAGCUGUUUCCCUGAGGAUCGAGAAGACAAAUACCCAUGAAACCACAUUUAAACUCUUUAAGGCACAAGGAGAAAUGACUAGCCAAAUAUUUUUAAUAAAAAAGUGACUGUGGUGUUCCAGAAAUGUAUCAUAAGUCAAACUAAACCCUGACAGCACAAUAGCUAACCAGCAGCAACCCUGAGACAGGUGGGUGGCGGGCUCUGGUCCUUAUCCAGCAGCAAGCCUGCAAGAGGGCAUGGGUGUUCUCUGGAGCAUCUGCAGAAGAUGAAGCUCUGUGUCAGUCUUUCUUGGUUUGGAGUCAUUAGCUCUAGGGAGUGAGGAUAUUAGAAAACCUUUCAAGCCACAAACCACACAUCUUAGGGAGAUAGCUAAUUAGAAUUCACCCUAAACUGUGAAAGAAUUAACAGACAUUAAAUAACCAUUAUUUAUAAUUGAAGCAUCAAGUUACCCAAAAGAAAAAAAAAAAAAAGGGCAAAGCUCAGAUUGCCUUGGUUAAUGUUUAAUUUAGAAAAAUAAAAGAGUAUGUAGUUCCCCAAAUGACCAGUAACUUAUGUUCCCAAAAUUAGUAGCUUACAGACUAUGUUUCUGAAAUAGCAACACUAACACUAUGAUUAGAGCAUUCAUUCUUAAAGGAGUGCACAUUUUACCCAUAUGUAGCCCAAGUAGAGCAUAUCUGGCCUGGCCUAAGUUCUGCAAGAAUGGCCAAAGCAGAGUGGAGC
Molecule: long non-coding RNA, 2643 nt
Organism: Chinchilla lanigera (long-tailed chinchilla)
Lineage: Eukaryota; Metazoa; Chordata; Mammalia; Rodentia; Chinchillidae
Exons: 3
Source: RefSeq, a predicted model, not a curated record